GGGACACUGUCAGGUGGGCAGUUUGACUGGGGCGGUCGCCUCCCAAAAGGUAACGGAGGCGCUCAAAGGUUCUCUCAGUACGGUCGGAAAUCGUACGUAGAGGGUAAAGGCAAAAGAGAGCUUGAUUGCAAGACAUACAGGUCGAGCAAGGAUGAAAAUCGGACUUAGUGAUCCGGUGGUUCUGCGUGGAAGGGCCAUCGCUCAAC
This 206-nucleotide ribosomal RNA is filed under the name Clostridioides difficile. RNAcentral's name for it is "partial 23S ribosomal RNA". It matches the Rfam family "Bacterial large subunit ribosomal RNA", at positions 2248 to 2453 of the family's 2925-position model. The record is from RNAcentral. Lineage: Bacteria; Bacillati; Bacillota; Clostridia; Peptostreptococcales; Peptostreptococcaceae.